CAGCCGCCACGGUAAUACGUAGGGUCCGAGCGUUGUCCGGAAUUAUUGGGCGUAAAGGGCUCGUAGGCGGUUUGUUGCGUCGGGAGUGAAAACCCAGGGCUUAACUUUGGGCUUGCUUUCGAUACGGGCAGACUUGAGGCAUUGAGGGGAGAACGGAAUUCCUGGUGUAGCGGUGAAAUGCGCAGAUAUCAGGAGGAACACCGGUGGCGAAGGCGGUUCUCUGGCAAUGUUCUGACGCUGAGGAGCGAAAGUGUGGGGAGCGAACAGGAUUAGAUACCCCAGUAGUCCCUGUCUCUUAUAC
RNAcentral lists this ribosomal RNA (301 nucleotides) under uncultured bacterium. RNAcentral describes it as "partial 16S ribosomal RNA". It matches the Rfam family "Bacterial small subunit ribosomal RNA", at positions 509 to 807 of the family's 1533-position model. The record is from RNAcentral.